GAACUGGGGAUUCAGGGUGACCCAGAGAAACCUCAAGGCUGACUCGUAGAAACUGAAGUUAUGGAGGUAAUGUGGCUGCUUCUGGGGCAGAGAGAAAAGGGGAAGGUAUCCUGGCUUCUCGCUCCUUCCCACCAGGGGUUGAAUCCAGCUAGAGGUCAUUUGACACAGACCCUGGGAAAUGUGAUCUACACCAUUCCAGCUUCCUCCCUCUUCUGCAGAUCAGAGUAGAAGGGAAGAAGACAGGUCUUCAAGAGAAUCAAGAUGAAAAAAGUCCCAGAAAACCUGGAAAGAUGAAAGUAUAGCCCAAAGCCAAGAGCAAGAAAGGCGUCUCAGGCCAAGAUACAACAUGAUCCAAGGUUUAUAUAGAGGAAGUAUGCCUAGCCUGGUCACACGGUGAAGGCAUCGGUUUGGCCAAGCAGCACCUAACCUUGGCACCUCUGAAGCUAACGAUGGAAUCUUUGAAAAUGACAUUAGAAGCAAAACACAAACAGCAGAAGACAUGAAGCUACCUCGAGUCCAUCUGUUCAAGAGCAAUCCACUCAGAGCUCCCAUUUCCCAUGUAAAACAGAAGAUGUGAUUUAUAAUUUAUAUCUCACUGGUACAACCCUGAUUGAAGCAAAGCACUUUGAUGCAAUGUUGGUUUCAUGCUAGUGGAACACCAUUCCAAAUCAGAGAAUAUUUAGAACUCUAACUCCUCUGCUGCUACUUUGAAGUAGGAAGAUUUGUAUUUUAUGUGCUUUGCUGAAAAAAAAAAGGAAAAAAAUACCUACACUUCAACAUGCAUGUGGUGGAAAUGUGAAAACAUUCAUGUGUGAAUCAGCACCAAAAUGUAAUUACUGCACUAAGCGUUGAAAAUAUUUAUAGACUCAUAUCUCAUGCCGAAGACCUGGUUUCAAUAACUCUCAGAAAAUUGUGAAAUUCAUACUUUGUUUUCUUGGGACUAACCUAAUUUAUUUGAAAUCUGCAACAUAUGAAGGACAGAAUCAAAGAAUGUCAACUUUCCAUCACCUCAGCUAAUGAUCUAAUAAAGAUGCCAUGCAUGUGGGUUGUGUGUGCA
Ochotona curzoniae (black-lipped pika) is the source of this 1057-nucleotide long non-coding RNA. RefSeq lists it as uncharacterized. The record is from RefSeq and is a predicted model, not a curated record. Lineage: Eukaryota; Metazoa; Chordata; Mammalia; Lagomorpha; Ochotonidae. The transcript has 2 exons.